RNAcentral lists this long non-coding RNA (20832 nucleotides) under Medicago truncatula (barrel medic). Its description in RNAcentral is "long non-coding RNA (MTRU_LNC001332)". The record is from RNAcentral. Lineage: Eukaryota; Viridiplantae; Streptophyta; Magnoliopsida; Fabales; Fabaceae.
AAGAUGUCAAAGACUUUGAACCAAGGUCCAACAUUUCAGCUUAUGGAGACAAUGACAUUGAUGUAAAAGAAAAGAAUGGAGCCAUUAAAGAUUUUGAACCUAGACCUAAUAUUUCAGCUUAUGGAGAAAAUGUCAUUGAUGCUGAUGAAAAGAAGAAACCAGUCAAAGAUUUUGAACCAAGACCCAAUAUUUCAGCUUAUGGAGACAAUGACAUUGAUGUUAAGGAAAAUAAGGGAGCCACCAACGAUUUUGAGCCAAGACCCAACAUUUCAGCUUAUGGAGACAAUGUCAUUGAUGAUAAUAAAAUGAAGAAACCAGUUGAAUAUUUCCAACCAAGACCAAACAUUUCAGCUUAUGGAGAAAAUGACAUUGAUGUUAAAAAAAGUAAAGAUUUUGAACCAAGACCCAACAUUUCAGCUUUUGGAGACAAUGACAUUGAUGUUAAUGAAAAGAAGGGAGAUACUAAAGAUUUCGAACCAAGACCAAAUAUUUCAGCUUAUGGAGACAAUGCCAUUGAUGAUGAUGAAAUGAAGAAACCAAUUAAAGAUUUUAAACCAAAACCAAACAUUUCGGCUUAUGGAGACAAUGUCAUUGAUGCUGAUGAAAUGAAGAAACCAGUCGAAGGUUUUGAACCAAGACCAAACAUUUCAACUUAUGGAGACAAUGUCAUUGAUGUUGAUGAAAUGAAGAAACAACAAGUCAAAGAUUUUGAACCAAGAACCAACAUUUCAGCUUAUGGAGACAAUGACAUUGAUGUUAAAGAAAAGAAGGGAGUCACCAACGAUUUUGAGCCAAGACCCAACAUUUCAGCUUAUGGAGACAAUGUCAUUGAUGCUAAUAAAAUGAAGAAACCAGUUGACGAUUUCCAACCAAGACCAACUAUUUCAGCUUAUGGAGACAAUGCCAUUGAUAAUAGUAAAACGAAUGAAGUCAUCAAAGAUUUUGAAUCAAGACCCAACAUUUCAGCUUACGGUAACAAUGAAGUUGACACUAAGAAAAAAGAAAAAGCUGCCAAAGAUUUUGAACAAAGACCCAUUAUUUCAGCUUAGGAAGACAACAUCAUUGAUGCUGAGAAAGAUGACGAGUUCACAAAGGAUUUUGAACGCAUGCCAAGAGUCACUAAAUAUGAUGCAUAACUUUAAUAAUUAAAAUAAAAUGCUAUUUCAAUUUCUGAUGUAAUACACUUAAUAAGUCAUUGCUACUUUAUGUUCAAUGAUAUUUAGUAUAUGUAUUAUGCAUUAAGCUUUUUGAAUGAAGGAACUUCUCCUUGUUUACUGAUGACAGUCAGUCAUUCACUAUUUUUAGAGUCUUUUUAUGAUAUUUUUGAGUUCACAAGCAAUCUUAAGCAACAAGAAAAGAAAGAAAAGUAAGAAAAAACUGAAGAAACUGAAAAGUGGGCAUCGUGUCACGAUUACUAAAAAGCGUGUCACGAUUUGGAACAUAGGAUGAGUUCAUUCAAGAUUGGUUAAAACGUGUCACGAUGGCUAUUUCGUGACACGAUUUUAAGAACAUGUGGCAAGAGAAAAUAUGAUCAAAAAGAGCAAAACAGGAGGUGUCAAGAAGUAAUGGAAUUAAGAAUUCCUAUUAAUUAAUGGGCUAUGUUGAUCCAAGAGGAGAAAAACGUGAUUAAUUGGAAAGGCAGCUGGGUUAGAUGAACCUAUAUAAAGAAGCAACAAGAGAGCUGCAAAUUAUCUUUCAAAAAAAAAAGAGAGAGCUGCAAAUUAUUCAAGAUGGUGACAUCACGGUUACGGCAAGAAUCACGUUUGGCACUUGUUGGAGAAGAAAAACGGGAACAAGCAUAUCACUAAGGAAGCAACAACGGCAAUUGAAAGAAAAUUGAGGAGCACUGUCGACAACGACUAAACUUUAUUGGUUUAAUUUCUUCUUUAUGUUGUUUGCUUAUUUGAUUAUGUCUAGCUAAACAUGGUUAGUCUAGGAAUGUAUAAUCCUUUACUAGUGAUAUUAGGUUAACGUGCUUAAAACCUUCAAAGAAUAUUAGCUCACCUAAGGAAUUAGGGACUGUAAUAUGAGAAGAGGGUCCUAACUCAAGGGAUGAAUUAUGACUAUUUUGUUAACUAUCGUGGAACUAGAAAAUCAUUCAUAAGAAUAGGUGCAGUAUACCCAUUUGGGGAACAUUGAUGACUCGAAAGACCUAGUCUCAUCUCUCCAUAUAUAGUUUCCAAAACUAUCUUUAUUUUCUGUUUAUUUAAUUUUAUGCAAUCAAAUCAAAUCUACAAACAAAAUAAUUUUUACAUCCUAAAUAUUUACUUUAUUGCUAAAUUGAGAUUAAUACAUUCUUCGUAGAUACGAACUUAUUUUAUUACUUCGAUGCAUGUUUAAUACACUUGCUAAAAGUCUAUCAUUUACCAAGAAUAGGAUAUAGUCUUGGUGAUUACAAGAAUGUUUCUUCGACAUUAAUAACUUCCUUGGCAGAUGUUAAAAUAUGGCGAUAUUUCCUUUAGAUCAAUCGAUCCUUCUUUUUGAAAUUAACCUGCACCGGCCCUUGUAUGUGUUUCAUGCUUCAUGUGCUUGAGCAUAUCACUCUAGUGUUUCCAGUUCCCACCAUUAAUGUCUAUCUUGUUUCCUAUUAUAUAACAACUACAAAAGAAAAAUUAUCUACAUCUAAAGGACUUUGCAUGUCAAGAAGAUACUCAAUCAUACACAAAAUUGUUAACGAAGUUUGAACAAUUUAAAAGAAAAUGUAACAAAAACGAAAAUGAAUUGAGGAAAACAUCUAGCUCGUAGGCCCACAGUUUUAAUUGCAUAUGUAUGUUACCCACGACGUAAACUUCUAUGGCUGAAGGAGUAUUUUUUUUACCAGAACUAUGGCUAAAGGUUAACGUGGGUAUGUGGCAAUUUUCUAGCAGAGCUUGUAUUAUUGCAUUAUCGUAGAACUACUAAUUUUUACUCCAAACACUCGGACAUUUUAUUGACGAGAAUUAAAAUUAGAGGUGGGAAGUUCCCGCGAGAAUGCAUAGUUUAGCUGGCAGGGACAAUACAUUAUUAUUAUAUAUAGAGAUUGAGGUUUGAAUCCCGAACACUCCACUUAUUCAUCUUAAAAAUGAAUUCUAACCAACUACAUCAAAACAACUCAAAUGACAAAGAAUGCAAGCCGUUUGCUAAUAAGUCUUAAAAUUUAUCUUUUUUUUUAAGUAAGUCUUAAAAUUUGAGCUACAACCAUUGAAAAUAAUUUAUAGCUAACAUUACUAUAUAGCGAUGAGGCUAAAUCGUUUCACUUUGAAACGAGCUUCAGCCUUAAGAUGAGAGCGGUUAGGGUUAUGUUUAUGUCAUUGAUCUUUUCCAGAUUUGAGAAACACCCCCGAGCCAAAUUUCAAGUAGGAAAAUCCAAAGUGUUAAAGUUGCUUUUGAAUAAAAUAGAUGAAAUCAUUUGGGCAUGGAGACUUAUAAAUUACCCAUAGUUCAACAAAAGCAACCUGAACCUCAAUGAGGUUACCUCAUUAUCCGUCACCGAUCAUCAACAUAGUUCUAUCAUGCUGAAUAUGCUAAGAUAAUUAUUAUUGGUCCCUUAGUAAAUGGAAACAAACUUUUUUUAAUCACCCUCUUCAUAAAUCUAAGAAUCCUUGGCUCUGUUCGGUAAAAAUAAGCUAUAAGCUAGCUGAUAGCUGAUAAGUUAGCUGAUAGCUGAUGAGUGAUAACUGAUAGCUGAUAGCUGAAAAGCUUGCUUAAUAAAAAUAAUGUGUUUGGUAAAAUUAGUUGUUGAAGUGGCUGAUAAAUAUAAAAUGACAUUUUUUUUUUUAAUAUACAUAUAAACACACAUUUUUUUGUAAUGUAUUUAUUUUUUAAUAUUUUUAAUUAUAGUUAAAUAUGUUUUUGGUCCCUAUAAAUAUUCAAAUUUUUGGUCUUAGUCUCCAUAAAAAAAUUCUUCGACCUUUAGUCCUAAAAAAAAAAUCACUGACAAUUUUGAUCUCUGCUUUAUGUAUCCCAAAAUUAAGAGAAAGGUGGAAACAAAAAGUGAGUUAGAAUAUAUAAAAUUUUACAACGUACAAAAGACUAGUUAUUUUUUCCUUUAAAAAAAAUAGGCUAGUUAUUUUUUUUGUGGUGUACGGCAGGUUAGUUAUAGCAAAAUAUAAAGCAUUUCCUUAAAAUAUAUAUAUAUAUAUAUAUAUAUAUAUAUAUAUAUAUAUAUAUAUAUAUAUAUAAAGUGCUCCUUAAAAAAAAAACUAUGUUGCAUUUUUUUUAAGGGAAAAAAUGGGGCGGUUAUAAAGAUGAACAUGAGUAGUUGUUUAAUUAAAAAAAUAAUUAAUUUAAAUUAAUAGGGUUAAAGUUGGAAGAAAAUAUAAAAAGCUACCAGCUAUAAGCUAAAAAGCUACUUGAAAUAGCUUUUCAAAAAACGCUAUAAGCUCAUGAAAAAAGCUUGUUACCAAACACGUCACGUUUUCAUCUAACGAGCUUAUAAGAUAAUCCAACAAACUAUAAGUUAACUUUUUUGUGUUACCAAACAUAACCCUUCUGUUUUUGGAGAGUAACAAUCCUAUUGUAACGUUUUUACUUGAGCGUUAAGAGAUGGAAGAACAGGGUAUUCAGAUCACCUUGGUUCCCCCUAACUUAUAGCGACACUGUCGGUAUCAGUAGUUGUCAUCAAAUUUGAUAAGCCAAGCCACCUUUAAUCCGCUCAAGUUAUUAAUCAUUCAAAGGCAUUUUCGGAAUUAAUCUUAAGCAGUUCAAGUUAGAAAUGAUUUGUUUAUUUAUGCGUUGGAGUCUAACAUGUCAAAUAUUAAAAUCACAACAUAUAAAUAAAAGCAUAAAUUUUAUUCUUAUCAAUGUUUAAUUUAAAUAUGUCUUCAAUGGCGUACCCUUCUCCCACAAAGACGCAUUUUUAGUAAUGAUGUUGAAAUCAACUUCUAUAGAUUGAGUAAACUCUGCAUUAUUUAAAAGAAAAUUUGAAACAAGAUUUUUUCAAAUUUAUGGAGUGUGCAUCACAUCCUCCUUCAGUAUUAGAGUCUUUCUGGAGAUGAACUUCAUCAUAUUAGUUUAAGUAACACAUGGAUCAAAUAAUCUUGAAACUUAAGUUGGAGUGCGCAAGCGGAUAAGGCUGGUUUUUUGUUUUGUUGCUUAAUAGCAGUUUUAGUCCCCUAACUUUUCUAAAGUUACGAUUUUGAUCCCUUAAGAAAAAGAACUACAAAACUGUCCCCUAAGUUUUGCAUAUGUGGCAGUUUUGACCCCCAAGGUCAAUUUUGACUCGGUCUACGCUCACGUGGCACCUUAAGUGAGGCGCCGCGUGUUAUUUUUCUUUACCAAAAAGUGCUAUUGGGGGGCCAAAACUGCCAGAGUUGCAAAACUUAGGGGCCGGUUUUGUAGUUUUUUUUUCUUAGGGGGCCAAUAUCGCAAAUUCGUGAAAGUUAGGGAGCGAAACUGCUAUUAAGCCUUUCUUUUAAUUGUUAGUUGGAUAAGAUUUAAACGAAACUUGUUCGUUAAGAAAAGCACUACCGGAUAAUGAUAAAAUUUAUUAAUUUAACAUUUUCGAAUGAUAAAAAAAACUUUGGCCUAAGCCCAACCCUAUGGCGUCACCGCAUAUGUGAUAUAUAUUUUCUUGAGCACUCUCGGUUCACAAAAAUGAGUAUCCAAGGCACACUCGUGAGAGUGAUUCUCCUUUUUUACUCAAAAAAAAAAAAAGAAAGAAAGAGUGAUUCUCCUUUUAAACAAACAUUAUUAAUGUGUUUCUUCUUAAAAAUUAAAAGUAAUGCACACAUUUCAAUACUUCCUCCGUCCUAAAUUAUAAGCAAAAAAAAAAAAAAUCACAUUUAUUAAGAAAACUAAAACAUAAGAAUUUGAAGUAUAAUUUUUUGUGUUUUCUUUAAAAAAAAAUUAUAGGAAGAUGUAAAAACAAUUUUCGUUGGCUAUUGGUUAUGGAAAAAGUGAAAGAGAGAGAAAAUUGAAUGUAAUUUGCGUUUAAUUUUAUGAGAAUAAACAAAAGUUUUUCUUGGGAAAAAGAUUUAAAAAAAAAGAUUAAAUAAGAUAAAAAUUUAUCUUUUUUGCUUAUAUUUUAGGACAAAGAAAAUGAGUUUUUUUGCUUAUAUUAUGAGACGGGGGGAAUAUAUGACACUUUUACCGUUUUCAAUUCACACCAUGCUAAUCCUAUCAAAUGUGAGACUUGUGUUUAUUUCAAUCUUCAUUCGUGAUUAAAUAGAAACUAACCAAUUAGAAUAUUGACAUUAGUAAGUACUCUAUGAAUACAAUAUUUAAAAGGAUACUGUUAACUUGUGCCCAUAGAGUAUAUGUUAAUAAACUUAAAAGAAGAAACUUUCUCUAAAAUUUUAUACAUUCAAUUAAUUAAAAAUUAAAAGUAAUGCACACAUUACAAUAAACUAUUUUUAUAUUUAAUUUUCCUAUUUAAAAAAGAUGCAAGAUGCACGUGAUAAGCACCAGACAAGUAUCAAUUUCAAAUCUCAAUAAUAAUCAAAGUGGAGGUGGUUUUCCUUAAAAAAAAAAAAAAAAGUAAGAGGAGGUGGUUGAAGCAAAAUUAACCCGGAUUUGCCCAGCUGUCAUUCCUAGGACGCACCUACAAUCUUAAAACCAAAAUGCUGGUCUAAUAUUAAGCAGUUAUAUUUAAAUGUUUUAAUUUUUUUACACUCAUUCAACACUUAAUUUUCAGAAUUUUUUUAUUUUUAUCUAAAAAAUUGUUUUUUGUUUAUAAGAGGGAAGAGAAAUAUAUAUUUUAAGAUAAAAGAAGAGGUAAAAGAAAAGUGUAAUUUCCUCAAAUUCUUAAUAUUAAUUUAAUAUUAAUAAUAGACACACGUGGUCACGUGCUAUCUACCAUGAUUGCUGAUUUUUUAUUUUUUUUUAGAGGAUGAUUGCUGAUCUUCUAGCUAUAAAUAGGUGAUUUAUUAGUUAUAGGAAUCAUCCACUUCCAUCGAAAUAUAAAAUCAGUGGCUUUUAAUAUCAAAGAUGAGACCUGCUCUUGCUUUAUUUCCCCUCUUGCUUUUCUUGGUAUGUUUUACUUUUCGUGGUUUCAAUUAGUAGAGUGCACUCUAAAUUCUAAUGCUUCAAAAUAAAAAAAACCUCUGAUAUUUUACAUUUAAUUGAACAAUUAUUUUCUUGUUGGAAAGUUUUUGUCUUUUCUUCCGGAUACUGAAAGUUAAUCGAUUAGUACUUCUUAGAGUAAUUUUAUGGAAAAUAUAAGUUAUUUCGUGUUUAUUUAUAUCCAUAAAAUCAUUUUUAAAUCUUCUUUAUCAUUUAUGAUUUCGUUAUAAUCACUGACGUCAAAAUUAUUGUCUGCCUUUCUGCUAUCGUAUUGCACUCAAUUGUUUGUUUAUUUCAUCUUAUUUUGUUAUUAAAUUUCAAUAAUAUAUCCCAAUCAGAUAAAGAUUUUAGGUUUAUUGAUGUGUUUAGCCCUUGCAAUUAGGCGGCAUUUAAAAAUUCGUCCCUGUAAUUGUUAAUCCUGGCAUUUUAACCCUGCAAUUGUUAAUCAUUUAAAAUUUCGUCCCUCUCCCCACUUAAUCACUGCCACGCCACAUGAAAUUCCAAAUUUACCCCUGGGUUUCCAAUUCUUUCUUCAAUAUUUUGUCCUCUUCUUAAGGGCAAAAUUGAAAUUUCAUGUGUGACAGUGAUUGCCACGUCAUCAAAUUAGUGACGUGGCAGUGAUUAAUUUGGUCCAAGGACCAAAUUUUAAACGAUUAACAAUUGCAGGGUUAAAAUGCCAGGAUUACCAAUUACAGGGACGAAUUUUUAAAUGCCGCCUAAUUGCAAGGGCUAAACACAUCAAUAAACCAAGAUUUUAUUCAUAUUGCAGUGGAAUUGCUUAUAUUAAAAUGAGAUGAGAUUUAGUUGAUUUUUUAAUUAAAAAUUUAAAUAGUAUUAUUCAAUACAAAAGAUAAACUUGUAAUUAAAAUAGUUUAACCGAAUGGUAUAAUUAGAAGAUAAAAACUCAGUCCAAAAUCUUGUACCCCCUUCACAUAGAGGUAUAGAUAGGUAUAUAUACCACAAUUAAAUAAAGAUUCAACGUGUCAUGUUUCUAUUAUAGUGAAAUUGUUCAUAUUAUACCGAGAUUUAACCAACUUUUCUAAUUAAAGGUUUAAAUAAUAUUUAAAAAAAAGUAAAAUUGUAAUAAGAAUAGUUAAUGAAGGGCACAACUGAAUGAUAAAAAGUCAUCCUAAAAUCAUAUUUCUUCUUUAUAUAUAUAUAUAUAUAUAUAUAUAUAUAUAUAUAUAUAUAUAUAUAUAUAUAUAUAUAUUGUACAACAGAAACUUGUGUUUAAAAUAAUUUUCAUUAUAAUAAGAUUUUACAUUUUUUUAAAUGUAAUUUAUUUCUUUGCUAAAAAAGUUAUUUAUUUCUCAUUAUUAACAAACUGCCAAGAUUGUGUGACACAAAUAAUAAAUAUUUUGGUCCCUUGACCAUUAGGUCCAUUGCACGGAAGAUGCCUUUUUUGAUUUACCAAAAAAUGAUUAGCAAGCUCGUUGGAAAUCCUUAAAUAUAAUUAUUUUAUAAAAAAAUCUCAAAUUAAAAAGUUCUUAUUUGAGCUAAUUAGCCAUACUUAUACGACUCACAUUGGUUAUUCACUUGAGUGAGUGUUUUUUUUCUGCAAAACAUUCAAGUGAGUGUUGGGGACCUGACCAAUAGCAAAAUAAAAAUAAAAAAACACAUAAAUAUUAUAUAAAUAUGACAUUGAUUAAUGUAAUCUUAUAAUUGAUAUUUACUAAUUCUAUUUAAAAGUUUAUUAUGUUCCAUUUAUUUCUCUUAAAAUCGCAAGCUCUCCCCCAAAAAACAUCUCCUCCACUUAAGAUCAAUCCACCUAAAUUUCUCUCCGAGAGUCAUUUUAAUCACUUUUACUUCUUAUUGAAUAGAAACCUAAAACAUCAUGAGAAAACAAAUUCUUAAAAGAAUAUCUCAAUUAAUGAUUAUUUUAAAAAUAUGUAGAUCAACCAUCUCUAAUAUUCUUGAAGUUAUUAUCGGAUAAAGAACAAUAGAUUCUGGUUGACAUGUUCCCGAUAAGAAGAUCUACUCUCAUCAGUUUGAGAAAAUGGGGCAUUCUUAAGGAACAUAAAACAAUUAUCAAUGAUUUUCCAAAUUUUAGGAUCAAUUUAUUAGGAUACAAGUUAAUAUGGUGGCUUUGCUGCUUAGAAAAGGCUUCCACAUUUUAUCUCAACUCCAACACUGCUUACGAUGUUCAAUAUGAUCUCCCUAUCCUUAAAAAAAAGAAUAUAAUAAAUAAUUAUGAGUGUUUUUUCCUUUUCGGUUAGGGAAUAAAUUUCUCUUUUAAACGAUUCUAUAUUAAAAAAGAGAGCUAUACAACUGCACAUAUAGACCAUUAUUUUUUCAUAUAUCUUAUUAAUUUCUUAUUUUGCGAUAAAGUUUGUAGCAAUUGUAGAAACAAGAAAAGAUUUGGGACAAUAUCGAAAACUAGUCAUGAAAGAUGAAGACAUGCGAAAAGAAAUUCAAGGGCUUCUUUACACCGAGACGAAAAAGAAUCUCAAGACUCCAAAGCAGUGUUUCAAAGGUUUUAAACAUGAUUGUGAAGAGCCAUUUGUAAUAGACACACAAGUCACCAUAGAAAAUGACAUCAUCCGUGCUAAGAGAAAGAAGGGAGUCACUAAAAAUUUUGAACCAAGACCAAAUGUUUCAAAAUAUGAAGAUAAUGACAUUAAUGCUGAGGAAAAGAAGAGAGUCGUCAAAGACUUUGAACCAAGACCUAAUGUUUCAGCUUAUGGAGCAAAUGAAAUUGAUGCUAAGGAUAAGAAGGGAGUUAUUGAUGAUUUUGAACCAAGACCCAAUGUUUCAGCUUAUGGAGACAAUGACGUUGAAGCUAAGAAAAAGAAGGGAAUCACUGAAGAUUUUGAACCAAGAUACAAUGUUUCAGCAUAUGGAGACAAUGGUGUAGAAGUUAAGGGAAAGAAGAAAGUCGUUAAAGAUUUCAAACCAAGACCAAAUGUUUCAGCUUAUGGAGACAAUGGUAUUGAUGUUAAGGAAAAUAAAGGAGCCAAUACGGAUUUUGAACCAAGACCAAAUUACGUUUCAGCAUAUGGAGACAAUAAUAUUGAUGUUACAGAAAAUAAAGGAGCCAAUAAAGAUUUUGAACCAAGACCCAAUGUUUCUGCUUAUGGAGAUAGUGAUAUUGAUGUUAAGGAAAAUAAAGGAGUCAGUAAAGAUUUUGAACCAAGACCCAACGUUUCAACAUAUGGAAACAAUGAUAUCGAUGUUACAGAAAAUAAAGAAGUCAAUAAAGCUUUUGAACCAAGAGCCAACGUUUCAGCGUAUAAAAACAAUGACAUUGAUGUUAUGAAAAAGAAGAACGUUACCAAAGAUUUUGAACCAAGAUCUAACGUUUCAGUUUAUGGAGACAACAAUAUUGAUGUUGAACCCAGACCAAGUGCCACUAAAUAUGAUGCAUAAAUGAAAUAGACCACUACUUCAAUCUAUAAUUAAAUAAGUCAUUGCCGCAUAAUGUUCGAUGAUUACUUAGCAUGUAUGCUGUAUUAAGCUUUUUGAAUAAUUGUAUUCUUGUCAAGUUAAGAUAUCAGUGGUGGAACUUCCCGUUGUUUACCAAGAACUGGACUUGGACUUGUCCUUGGUGAAAGGGAAUGCUUCUUCGACAUCAAUAUCUUCCUUGAUGGAUGUUUUAAAAUAUGGGAUAUUUCUUUUAUGAAGAAUGCAUGUUAGGGUAUUGUUUGAAGAAAUAAAAGAAGCAAGCUUGUAUAAAAAUGUGGUGUGAUUAUUACAUUAAUAAAAUUUUAUUUUAUGAAUACCGUAAUUAAUUUUCCAAGGACGCUCGUUAGCAUGAUCAUUCAUUUAUAUCAAUGUACACAAAGUUCGACCCUUCAUUACUCUCUUUUUCUUUGCACUUUGCAAAAAAAAAUGUCUUAACUUAUGUCACUUUACAAAAUCAAUGAAAUAUUAAUGCUUCAUUGUAGGUUCAUGUGUUUUCAAGCAAAAAUAUACAGUUCAUGAAUUUAGAUUAGCUAUAAAGACUAAAUUGUCUCUUUUCAAUUAUCGUUAGAGACCAUAAUUUUUCCUUAAUUCAGUCACAUAACUGUAUAUGCAAUAUAGUGACUUAGUGGAUUGACACGGAAGAUGAAUAUAUUACAUGUUAGAAAAACAAAAUUGAUGGAGGUUAUAUUUAAGAACUAAAGUGCUUCAGUUGUGGAGUCCUCCCUCGAGGGGCUUCUUAAAAAUCAACGUAGAUUCUCAUCUUCUAGAUGAUGGCAUGUUGGGGUUUAGGAUUCAUCUCUCGACAGAAGGAUGGGAACACAUUGCAGUGGCUACUAAGGUCGUAAAGAGUGGGGAAGAUUCUCAGGUGGCGGAGGCAACAUGGAUCAAGGAAGUUAGUAAUGUCUAAUUGUCUAUGAUAGAAGAGAACCAGGUUGAAGUUGUGUUUAUAGAAUUUUUUUUUUUUAUUUUUUUGGAGAGAGGGAAGGAAUAACUAGGGUUUGUCAUCAAUUUCUAGCAAAUUACCAUAGGGUUUCUCUUAGGUCGGUGAGAAAACGUGUCACAACUCACAGGCUUGCCCAUGAAAUUGCAAAAUGGGCAGCUAGGGAGUUGAAAAGAAUUUGAAUUUUUGAAAUACUAAACCAUAUUGUAACUUAAUCUCUCAUAUUUAUAGGCAAAUGUUAUUUUUUGAGAUUCAUUGAAUAAUUGAUGUAUCUUUACUAUAAUGUAGUCUAGAUGCACAUGUUAUUUAUUGAAUCUUAAAAAUGAAUAGUUGUUUAUAUAUGUGAUCGGAGAAAGUAUAUACAAAAAGAUAUGGGCAAAUAAUUAAGAACUAAAGUGUUUUUUUAUUAUAAUUAUUAUUUUGGUUGCAAAAGAUUAAAAUUUGCAUUUUUUUAUUGUGACGGGAUCAAAAGAAGUCUCUUUUUUUUUUUGUGAGGGACCAUACGAUAUCAAAUUUAGUCUUCAUGCUUAAAAAAAUGAAGUAGAUGAAAAUUUGCAUUUUUAUUAUUAUUAUUAUGAGGGAUCAAAAGAGCUCUCUGGUUUUUUGUGAGGGACCGUACGAGAUCUCAAAUGAAAUGAAGUUGGCUUAUUCCCCCCACUUUUUGUCCUUUUUAACUAAGCAACAAUUGGCUAGUUUUAUUUCAUUUUUAGUUUCAGCGCCAUCAUGAAAAUACAUCGAUGAUGCGAGACAUUUCGAACCAGUUUGCAAACACUAAGGAGUCAUAUUUGGUUGUAAUAACAAACAGACAGAGCACAACACACGUGAUGACCAAUGUUUUGAUUAAGAUUAAAUUUUGUUUAGCACUCAACAAAGAGUUUAUAACUACCUACAGUAUAAAAUUAGUAAGUGACAGAUAGAAAAAAGCAUAUAGCAUGUUAAAAAUAGAGAAAUAGUUGCUUGUAGGAGAGGUGAGUUGGAAAAGAAACACGUUUUCUUCUGGGUGUAUCUAUUACCAUGCACAUCACCUUGGUCAUCGCUUUCUUUUGAGAAUCCUCCUCCUCCUCCUGCCCUUUUCUCUCACCUUAUAAGGUAACAUUAAAUUUCAUUAAUCCCUUCUUCUUAAUCUCUCUCUCUCUCUCUCUCUCUUUCAAAAAUAACUAACUUAGAUCCAUGCAAUAAGAUGAACAUGUGUUAUACUAACAUAUUUUAUUAUUACAGGUAGGUUUGAGAAUACAUGAUCGAUCGGGGUCAAUAUUUGAGGGAGCUGAGUGUGACUUCUUCAGAUCAUUCUUUAUAACAAUGUCUUCUAUUUCCCAAGAAUCUUCUCCAGGACCAGACGCUCAAAAUUCGUCUCCACCAGAUUCAUCAUCAUCACCACCACCAUCACUCUCACCACCACCCUCGUCACCACCACCUUCACUCUCACCACCACCCUCAUCACCACCACCAUCAUCUCCACCACCUCAAUCACCUCCUCCAUCGUCUCCAUCACCAUCUUCCCCUCCUCCAUCUUCUCCGUCUCCGACUCCACCUUCUAACACUUCCCCAUCUCAACCAUCACAAUCACCACCACCACCACCACAACCACAGUCAUCACAGGCUCCACCUAACAACUCACCAUUGCCUCCAAACCAGGGUGUCUUUUCUCCUCCUCCUCCUCCUCCUCCGACGUCACAUCAUCAUCAUAAAUCAUCACCCUCGAACAACGGCAACAAUACAAAUGAUAACAAUGGGAAUCAAUUGAGCGUGGGUGGUAUAAUAGCAGUUGCAGGUGCAGCUUGUAUAAUCCUCCUUGUCAUUAUCCUACUCUGCGUUAUAUGUACAAGAAGGAAGAAGAGAUCACAACCUCAUCACAUUCAUUACUACCCUACUCCAGCACACGGUAUAUAUUUUUAUAUAUCUCCUAUUUCUUUUUUUAAUAGGAAUUUGCAAAUAAGCAUGUUAUGAAGUUUAGAAUAGUUAAUGGGGGAAGCUAAUUAAUUAAUUAAUUAAUUAAUGAUUCAUAGCCUAUUCUUAUUUUUUUGAUCAGAAAUGGAUCCUCUAAAGCUUUUGCAUGGUGCCAUAGUCGACGCGGUAGAGGAUCCAAAUUUGAAUCUUAUGUAGCUACAAUAUGGUGUUGCAAAUGUAGAAACUGUAAGAUAUAAAAAAAAAAUGUUAUCUUUGAAUUUAUCAAUCCCUGGUCAUAAAGGAUCUAAUUUGUUCAAAUCAUUUGUUAAAAGGCUAGUUGUAUAUGUUGAGUAUGUGUUAUAAUGCUAAUAAGUGGGAGAGUCAAUUAAGCGAAGCGAGAGUGACAUGCCUUUUUGAACCAACACAGUUACACGAAGGUAAGUUGCGAGGGGUGAUUAGGGACGCGGGUUUGAAGCCUGAACCGUAAUAUAUAAAUACAAGUUGUACAAUUUAAAUCCUAUUCUUUUAAGAUGACGAUGAUAGAAAGGAACUGCACAAUUGGUAUAACUUUGUUACCAAACAUAUGUGUUCUCUGCUUAUGGAAUUUCUUGCUUCUACUCUACCGAUAUAUAGUGUACAGAAAAUGACUAGUAUUAUAAACAUGCAGGUGCAAAUCAGUAUAUGUACAACAAUGGUGAGCAUGUGCUUAAUAUUCCUCCACCAGCUCAAGGUGGUGGUUGGACUCCAACACCUCCAAAAAAAACACCUCCAAAAAUGACACCUUCAAAAAAGACACCUCCGCACCAGGUUAGUAGCAGUGAGUUGACCAACUCCAGUUACUCUGGCCCAGUAGAUCCUGUAUUGCCACCACCACACCCAACGGUUGCACUUGGGUUCAACCAGAGCUCAUUCAGUUAUGAAGAGUUAUCAACUGCCACCGGUGGGUUUUCAAAACAAAACUUGUUGGGUCAAGGUGGGUUUGGAUAUGUACAUAAAGGUAUUCUCCCUAAUGGUAAGGAAAUAGCGGUGAAGAGCCUUAAAUCAACUGGUGGACAAGGUGACAGAGAAUUUCAAGCUGAGGUUGAUACUAUAAGCCGUGUACAUCAUCGCUAUCUUGUCUCGCUUGUUGGCUAUUGCAUUUCUGAAUCUAAAAAGCUUCUUGUUUAUGAAUUCGUUCCCAACAAGACCCUUGAUUAUCACCUUCAUGGUAAGCUAUCUUUCAAACUAUAAUUAAUAUUACUUGUUUGUUGGAUUUAAUUUGACACUCUUGUAUGUAAUAUUAAUUUUUUGCAGGAAAGGGUCGACCUGUGAUGGAUUGGGCCACAAGGCUUAAAAUUGCGGUUGGAUCCGCCAAAGGACUUGCUUAUUUACACGAGGACUGUAAGUUACUAUGUGCUUGUAAUCUAAUUUUGACAAAUGACUAAAAUACAUUUUUAUGGAUGAAUCCGUAGAGAGAACUCAAAUUCGAAUAUGGCGAGAAUAUUCAUUGACCAGAAUUUACCCUCUUCCCCCCAAAAACUAGAGGGUUAAGCCCGAAAAACUAACAUUAUCAUUAAUAACUUGUUCAAACAAUAACCUGCAGGUCACCCUAGAAUCAUUCACCGAGACAUCAAGGGUGCAAACAUUCUAAUUGAAAACAACUUUGAAGCCAAAGUACGUAUAAUGAUCAUUUACUAUAUGUUUAGUUAUUAAAGAAUUGUAAUUAUCAAGUGAUUCUAUCCAUUUAGGUGGCAGAUUUUGGAUUGGCAAAAUUUACUCAAGACACUAACACUCAUGUUUCUACUCGUGUGAUGGGAACAUUUGGGUAAUUAAAUAAUAAUUCAACCCAAACUAUAUACAUUUAUUUAUGUAUGAAUCUUUUGCAAAUUCCAAAUAAUUUCUACCUACUUGUAUAUGGCUAUCAAUUCAGGUAUAUGGCUCCUGAGUAUGCAUCAAGUGGUAAGCUAACUGAUAAAUCUGAUGUCUUCUCGUAUGGUGUUAUGCUUUUGGAGCUCAUAACAGGACGACGGCCAGUCGGUACCGCCGGCAGUGAUUACGAGGAAGAUAGUUUAGUUGAUUGGGUAUAUAUUGCAUUUCAUAUUUCGACAUUAUUUUGAUUAUGAAUAUUUCCAAUACUAGAUUAUCAUAAUGUCAUAUUCCUAUAAUUACGUACCAUACUUUGUUUAUGAAAAUGCAGGCUAGACCACUUUGUUCAAAAGCACUGGAAUAUGGAAUAUAUCUUGGAUUGGUGGAUCCACGUUUAGAGGAAAAUUAUGAGAAACAAGAUAUGACACGUAUGGUAGCUUGUGCUUCUGCUUGUGUUAGGCACUCAGGAAGAAGGCGUCCAAGAAUGAGUCAGGUAUAACAUAAUUCUUUAAUUUGAAUAGCUAAGCUAAUUUGUUAAUUGUUACGUAAGACAUGUUGAUAUUUAGUUAUAUUAUAUGCUAACAAAAACAUGAAAUAUAUUUAUGUAUUUGAAUUGAAUAGAUUGUACGGGUACUGGAAGGAGAUGCUUCACUAGAAGUGCUUAUAAACCAGGAUGGAGUGAAACCUGGACAUAGUGCUAUGUACAGUAGCGCAAGUGGAGAUUAUGAUGCAGGGACAUACAGUGCUGACAUGAAAAAGUUCCGGAAACUAGCAUUGGAAAGUAGCACAGGGAGCAGUGAGUACGGUGCAACUAGUGAGUAUGGACUCAACCUUUCCGCCUCGAGCAGUGAUCAAUCUUCUGUUGAUUAUACUAGGAGGACGGUAACUGGAACCGGAGGCGGAUCAAAAUUCCAUGAAAAAUAAAGCCUGAUAUGAUCCUAUUUUAUUUGUUAACUAGCUAGAUAGCUAGCAAAAGUAACAGCUGAUUAUCUAGCGAUAUGAUUUUAAUUCAGGCCAUGGCAUAAAAUUAGUGCCACAGGGAAAGAAAUACAUGACAGAGUUAUAUUCUUUUGUGACUUUUUGUAUGAUUCAUUGAUAAGGAUAUACGUAAUUCCCAUUACAAAAAAAAAUAUUCUAAGGAGGCAAAAGCUAAAACUAAAAAAGUUCAAUCAAGUCCUUCAAAAUUACAACAGAGAACAUCCAAUUGCAAGUGCUACUAUUAGUGCUGAAGUUAUUGUGAAUAAAAUGUGAUUAAGAUUUAUUUGUUUGGACAACAUCAAACAUUGAUUGCGUGUUAGUUUGAAAAACUUUUACUUAAACCGUUACCACACCAAAAUAGUUGAUCAUUUUUUCAUUGUCAUUCUCAAACAAAUGACUAAAAAGGUAAGUGUCCGUGCCAUAGAAUGAGAUAUGCUUGAAAUAUCAAUUUGAUAAGAAUUUCCCAACUUGCCCAAGACAAAACACUUGUCAUUCUAAGAAUUGGUAAUUCAUCCAAGUUUUUUUGUUUUGUUUGAAAGAUUCAAGUUAGAUCUUUUAAGAAUCCUUUUUACUUCUACCAAUCAUUUACUAUUAGUGCCGAACUUUGUAACGCAAGUUUGUAACCUAAGUAGGGGCAAUAAGGUAUUAGAAGGUCCAUACAGAGCUUGCUUUGGCUUUAAACGGGGCCACCGCAAGUGGGCGGUGGGAUUGGUCCCCUUGGAUUAGUCGAUUCUUGGAUCAGAUACCGAGUUUUAAAAAAAAAAGGUAUUAAAAGGUCUUUGAUGUGGAUUCUGCAUCAACACUCACUCACCGUGAAACUAAAAAAUUUGAGACUCCGGCUAAUGUGGAUCGUUUAGUCAAUGAUUUAAACAAGAAUUUUUGAGUGGUGUUAUGAGUUGGCCCCCUAGUUUUUUUUUAGGCUUAAUUGCACUUUUGGCCCCCUAUAUUUUAAGAAGUUGCGAUUUUGACCCCCUAACUAAUUAAAAUACAAAACAGCCCCCUAUGUAUUGGAUCUUUGGCAGUUUUUGCCCUCUAACUAAUUAAAAUACAAAACAGCCUCCUAUGUACUAGAUCUUUGGCAGUUUUGGCCGCCUGGAUCAAUUUUGACUCGGUCAACGCUGACGUGACACUUCAAAGCCGCCAUGUGUGCAUUGUUUUAAUUAAAAAUAAAUAAAAAAAGUCACAUAUAAGUUAAAGAAUGAAAUAAAUGAAAAAAAACAACAAAUAAUUAAAAAAAUAAAAAAGAAAGAAAAAAAAGGAAGGAAAUCGUGUUCCAAAAUCUGAUUCUCCCUCUUCUUCCUCUCAUCUCUCUCUAAAACACUGAUUCUCUCUGUCCAAAACCCCUUGUUCCAAAAUCUUGAAGAUUUCUGCCACUAUUUCAUCACCACCAUGGAGUUCAAAAACACUUUUUAACUGAUUCAAGAAUAGAUAUUCAUACUAUUAAAGAUUAUUCAGAUAUUCCUGCAUUAUUCAUGCUGACACUGAUAAUAUUGCAUUUAUAACUGCAAAUUAACAAAUAACUGAGCAGUUUAUAAUAAAUAUACAGAUAGGAAACGACAAAGUAAAGGAGGAAAAAAAAGAAUUUAUAUGAUAAAUAUAUCAAGCUAUUGGAUUGUUAGGGAACAAUGGAGGUGUAAUUCUUAUUCAAGUUAUGUAUAGACAACAUGAAACUAAUAUAGCUGUCUUGUUUUGUUCCCUUUAUGUAUGUCAAAGUGCAUGUUAUAUGCUCCAUUUUCUUUUGAUAAAAACGAAACUUUCGUUUCGUUCAAUAGAACAUUAUUUCAUUAUCGUGCUUGCAUUGAGCUACUCAUCCUUUUUCCACUUUUUCCAUGCUUCUGUCAAUGGAGCAGGUUCUUAAAUUAGUGCUUUAGAGAGAGAUGAGAGGAAGAAGAGUUAGAAUCAGAUUUUGGAACACAAUUUCCUUUUUUUCCUUUCCUUUUUAUUUUUUUUAAUUAUUUGUUUUUUUUAAUUUAUUUAAUUCUUUAAUUCAUAUGUGGCUUUUUUUAUUUAUUUUUAAUUAAAACAAUGCGCACGUGGCGGCUUUGAAGUGCCACGUCAGCGUUGACCAAGUCAAAGUUGGUUUAGGGGGCCAAAACUGCCAAAGAUCCAAUACAUAGGAGGCUGUUUUGUAUUUUAAUUAGUUAGGGGGUCAAAACUGUCAAAGAUCCAAUACAUAGGGGGUUGUUUUGUAUUUUAGUUAAUUAGGAGGCCAAAAUCACAACUUCUUAAAACAUAGGGGGCCAAAAGUGCAAUUAAUCCUUUUUUUUAAGACAAAUAUUAGGGUGCAAACUUUGUAAAGUAGUAUAAGCUUUCACAUUUUAAUUAUGUUCACAAUUUUUAAGAAAUGGUUAAUUGUGUUGAUUUUAAUGGUAAAAUUAAUAUCAUUUACUAAAAUAUUUUUAUUAAUUGUAGUUAAUGGAGUAGUUAAGUUGAAUGAAAUAUAACGGUGGAAAAAACAAUAAAUAUGAAACAAGUUCUAAUAAUUACCUCUAAAAAAAAAUCCAUAAUUAAAAAUACUCCUACAUAACAAGUUCAGUGUGAAUGAAACACAUGUGAUUCAGACAAACAUGCCUCAUAAGUGCAAAGAUAGGAGUUGUCCACUACUCUCAUGGAUGUUGUUGAAGCUCCUCUUGAUGCAGUCUUUUUGAGAAAACAAAUUUAAAAAAUGAAUUAAACAAAUAGCAUUUCUGCUUCUGAGCAGAACCAUAUAUAUAUUCUUUUUUGAAUUUGUUUGGAAUGCAACUAAAAAAAACUGAAGUUUUACAGGUUCUAAGUACAAGUGUCACAUUUUCAUACUUCUUCAUGAUCUUGUAAAAUGCCGAGAGAUCAUUAAGGAAUUAUGUGUAACUUUUCUUUGGAAAAUAUGAAUGAGUAGAAAUUACACAUUGCAUUUCAUUUCAUUUUAUUGCAGUUUCCAUGAAACAUAAAUAAACAAAAACAAGUUCGGAAUCAGAAUCCUACCUUUAUGGUAAUUUCUUCUUCAUGUCAUAUAGCAUUGUUAGGCUUUAACUUUCAUGGACCAUUGUCACCACAAUUCAACUUCCGCUAGCUAGAAACAUUUAAUAGUGAGAAGACAUCAAAAUAAUGUUGCGAGCAAAGAAAAAAAGAGAUAAUCAAAUCCUCAAAAUCAUGUACCAAAGUUAGAAGGAAUCUUGCUUUGUCUCAAAACUAAUGUGAGGAGAAAAGAUCAAAUGAAGUUGUUACGAAAGAAAUAAAAGAAAAAACAAACAGUUAUGAAUGAUUGAUCAGUAGAAAUAAUUAGCAGUUGCAGUUAUGAAGACUGUUAAUUAGAAUUUAAAAGUUCUUUAACUUGGCUUUUUGUCUAACAUCUUGAUCUGCAUCCUCGUAGAACCAAACAAGUGCUAUCUGCUUGUCUUCAAUAUAAUCCAUCAGUACGUACGUUGUUUCAAUAUAAAGCUUCAUCAUAAUAUUUGGAAUUUGUUUCCAAUUAACUACAAUCUAUUGCAGGUCCACAAGUUUUGCAUAAGUGUAUCUAGUUUUGACAAACCUUUUAGUCGUCCAAUGAGCAAAUUAGUCAUUAUUUUAUUUUCUAUAAUGUACGAUACUACAUCAAUAUUAAAGAAAAACUGUUCUUAAAGCAUGAAAAUAAUGCAAAUAUAUAUUAAUUAUAUAUUUUUUUGGAGGCAGUGAUAAUUCAAUGAAGAAAGCUUUUUGUAACAUAUUUUAUUAAAUUCAUUGAAGAAAUCUUUUUUGUAAAAUAUUUUAAAGUAUAAAUAUUUGUAUUUGAGCAUUGCUUUAAAUAAUAUGCAUACAAUAAGUUGAUCACUUCAAAGUUAAAGAUCAAAGUCUGUUUUCAUUCUCUUUCCCAUUAAAUUUCCUCACAUUGCUCACUCACACUCGCAUCAGAACAUUCUUUUCUUUUUCUUUUCUCUCUAUUAACUCACUCCCUCUUAUUCUUUCAACACAUCGAUGGAUCCCUUCAGAGAUAUCAUGAAUGGCUUUGAAGUAACUCGAGAUGGAAAAAGUGUAGUCAUCCCUGCCCCUUUUGUAUGGCCGCUGAUUGCAGAGCAACCGUUCACAGCUACAAAUAUCUCUUGCAAAAUAGAAUAGUUAAUAUCACCGGAGCUGUUCCGUGCAAGAAAUGCAAAGAAAAGUUCCAAAUGUCUUUUCAUUUGAGAGAAAAGGUUCCUGAAAUAUUGAAGUUUGUUACCGAAAACAGGAACGACAUGCAUGACAGGGCGCCAACCAUUUGGAUGAAGCCAACAUUGCCUAAUUGUGUGCACUGUAAUCAACAAAACAGUGUGAAGCCGGUAAUUGCUGACAAGAAACGGAGUAUCAACUGGCUGUUUCUGUUAUUAGGACAAAUGCUUGGCUGCUGCACGCGUAAACAGCUGAAGUAUUUCUGCAAACACACCAAGAAUCAUGAAUCAGGUGCCAAGAAUAGAGUUCUUUAUUUAACUUAUCUUGGACUCUGCAAACAACUUGAUCAUCCCAGACCCUUUGAUACUGGACCCUUUGAUUAUGAUGCUUGAUCACUGACUCAUUUCAUGCAUAUCAUCUAUUAUAUUUUAUAUUAGUCUUAAGGUUUGUUGCCAUUUAUUUUCUUAUUUCGUUCAUACUUUGUCUUAUACAUGCAAAUGUAUAAUCUCCUCUAUAUUCACCAAAAACAAUACGUACUUGUUUAAUCUCCUCUAUACAAGCAAUGAUUCUAAUGAAAGCAUGUUUUUGUUACCGCAUUGAUCAGUGAAUCCCAUUCAUUGACUAGUUUGUACAAAUUGUGUUUACUUUUAUUUAUUAUCUUUUGUAUGAAUCGUUGAUUAGGAUACACAUAAGGAAAA